AGAGAAAGACUGAAUUCUUACUCUUCAAAGAAAAAUAUCAAAAGGAGGAUCAUGUUCAAGCUAUCGCUGGUUGGCCUGCUCCUGUUUGUUAAUAACAUUCUGGGAACAACUUCACCAACAACAACAUCAAACUCUGUGGCAGUAUCCACUCCUGGGUCAAGUCUGAAUCCUGGCACCAGACCUAACCCGAGGACCAGCACCACUCCCAGAAUGAACCCCAAUCCCAGGACAAGUCCAAAUCUCAAAAUGACAUCGAAUCCCAAGACAACUCAAAAUUCUAAGACAAGUCUAAUUACAGCAGUGACCCCAAAGAUAGCCACAAGUAAGAAUAUGAACACUGUGAAAAAUGGUAGCACCACACUCAAUCCAACGGACAACAUUCCUUUUAUUUUCUAUGUAACAUUUUUGCUGUUUUGUGUACACUUGCACUCAGGCUGAAGUGAACUUCAACUGCCUGCAUUCUUAUCUCAGUUUCUUAUUACCUGCUGAAUGACAAGGACAUUAGGAAAUUAUCACUUACUUCAACUUACUACUUAAGAAAUUAU
Sapajus apella (tufted capuchin) is the source of this 545-nucleotide long non-coding RNA. RefSeq lists it as uncharacterized. The record is from RefSeq and is a predicted model, not a curated record. The transcript is spliced from 2 exons. NCBI's taxonomy places the organism in Eukaryota, Metazoa, Chordata, Mammalia, Primates, Cebidae.